This 63-nucleotide non-coding RNA is filed under the name Canis lupus familiaris (dog). RNAcentral describes it as "microRNA cfa-mir-129 precursor (cfa-mir-129-2)". Its record names the gene cfa-mir-129-2. It matches the Rfam family "mir-129 microRNA precursor family", at positions 7 to 71 of the family's 75-position model. Rfam says of the family: The mature sequence is excised from the 5' arm of the hairpin. Lineage: Eukaryota; Metazoa; Chordata; Mammalia; Carnivora; Canidae. The record is from miRBase by way of RNAcentral. RNAcentral also lists the same sequence under 2 other names.
CUUUUUGCGGUCUGGGCUUGCUGUACAUAACUCGAUAGCCGGAAGCCCUUACCCCAAAAAGCA